Molecule: long non-coding RNA, 17253 nt
Organism: Mobula hypostoma (lesser devil ray)
Lineage: Eukaryota; Metazoa; Chordata; Chondrichthyes; Myliobatiformes; Myliobatidae
Exons: 4
Source: RefSeq, a predicted model, not a curated record
GCACGUGUGAGGUGACAAUAGCACUGUCCUUUUCAGACGACUGUACAGGCUACAUUUUGUUUAGCAACAGUGUCACAGCCUGGCAGACUCUGGAAACUGUGCCUAAACAUUUAGGGCUUAUUUAUCAAUAAAAAAAAACUGCUACCAAGGAGGUGGGACUUAUACAUUUGGAGGAAGGGUUAAGAUCUUAUCAAAAUCUCAUCCUAUGAUGCUUAAAAGGUGAGAUCAAGGAAGAAUUACAAACUACAGAACCUGAAGUCCGAACACACAAGUUGAACAAGAAGUGGAGAGAAGAACGUUGCUCUGCUGAAAAUGAGAAACCUGCUGUAUUUGAUCCUCUUUCACUGUAUCUGUCAAUCCAGCACACUGGAGAAUGAUAUUGAAGAUUUUCUGGACACAACUGAUGAAGAAGUAGACAUAGAACCACUGAAAGUGAUCUCCGAGGCAAAAGCCGGAAGUGCAUCUGCUUGCGGUUGCUGGGGUGGCUUUCGUGUGGCAUUUGAUGUACAAAGCUCCACAAUGAAUCAUAUGGUGAUACCCGGAAGAUCCAUAGUUUUUAAUAAGAUCAAUCUCAACCUGGGCAGGGCAUACAACAGGCAUUCUGGGAUGUUUGUGACUCCCAGAUCUGGCAUAUAUUUCUUCAGUUAUUCUUCGCUGCCAUUCAGAGGGCUGCAUACUGAUGUGGUCCUGGUGAAGAAUGGACUGAAAAUCAGUAAGAUCCACAGUGUGCUUUCAAGAAAUGCCAGCCAGCUUGCUAGCAAGAAUGCAAUAUUGCAACUCAGAAAAGGAGAUCAUGUGUGGGUCCAUCUUGAAAACGGGAAACUCUGGAGCAGAGAUGGAUCAGUUAGUUUUCAGGGAUUCCUACUGACUCCCUUUUACUAAGUAGCCAGCUGAAAAUGUCAGGGCCAUUCUUAUUGCUGCAGCACAAGAGCUUGAUGGAGUAGAAGGCAACAUAUCAAGCAAGCCAUUGAAUAUUAUUUCUGUAGUCAGAAAAUAGCAAGCCUAAUUUUACAUGCAAGGAAUUUGUCUCACCACACUGAAAAGAAAAUGGGCUGUCCCUGGCAAUCACAGGUGAUUUCAAGUGAAGUCGUGCUUUAAAAAUGCUUAAUAAUUUGUGCUUUUGCAGUAUGUGCUUGAAACAUUGAUUUAGUUCACAGAUAGUGGCUGAGUUCGAGGCAAAACAAGAAGCUAGUUAAACAGAAUAACCAAAAGGGGGAAACAAAGGCACAAAGCACUGAAGACUGUGAGUGGAAGUUAAAUUAAGACCUGCUCAGCCGAGAUACAAAAUAAUUCCAUCUUCAAAGAUACAAAAAUGAUGCACACAAACUGUAUUUUUAACAAUGUAAUCAGUAGCUUUCGCUGUUUGCAAAUUCAUCAAUAAAAACCAAAGCACUGGCACUGGAGUUUGCGUACAAUUUUCACAAAACAAAUAAUGACUUCUGAUUUUAACUAAAAUGUCACCAAAAUAAUGGAAGGUUAUAAAUAUUGCAAUUAGCUUUAAGAACUCCAUCUUAAACCAAUGAUUUGAGGAUGGGAGGUAAUGAUAGGAUCGGACCAUGAUUAGAAACUUUUUCCAUGGACUGAGCCAUACCCCAUCAGAGAGUAAGCAGCCACUGAGGAGUGACAGGAAGGCAAGUUGGGGGUGGGGGAUGUGAGGAGAGUCUGGAGGCAGAGUUGGAGAAAAAGUUGGAAUGGGAAAUCUAUGGAGGAUGGGGUGGGAAGAAAGUUGGAAUGGGAAACCUUUGGAGGAUGGGGAGGGUAGAAAAGAGAGAAGAGAGAGAGAGAGAGAGAGAGAGAGAGAGAGAGAGGGAUUUUGACCUUAAUCCAAUCAAAUAUGGCAAGACCUCAAGAUUGCUGUCCAUCAUCACUCCCCAAGUACUUAAAGCAAUUUUACACAGAGGAAUGGGUAAAUUUUGCUCCUUCAUGUUGCGCAAAGCUUAUCCAAAAAGACUGCUGGCUGCAAUCGCCGCGAGGGGUAAUUCAACCAAGUAGUGAGCAAAGGGGGAUGAAUACUUUUGAACUGCUAUCAUUUCGGUUUUUGAUUUUUUAGAUUUUCAUGCUUUACAAUUAUGGGUUUUUUUUUGGUCUACCGUGAAAAAAGAAGCAUGUGAUUCACGAAUAAAAUUCUCAGUUAAAUUGAUCAAAACCCCUGCUUGUAACACUCAUUUAUGUGAUCAAACGGUUAGGGGCUGAUUGCUUUUACAAGGCACUUUGUAGUAGUUAUCUAAAUGCAAUGUGAUUCCAAAAGAUGUCAUAGAAGACAAACAUGAGAUGAACAGAAUGGAUUGUUCUAGUCAACAAUGGAGGAACUCAGCAGGCCAGGCAGCAUCUAGGGAAAGUUGAUUAGUGAAAGAGAUACAGAGCUGGAGAAGGGGAAAUCUAAUAGGAGAGGACAGAAGACCAUGGAAGAAAGAAAAGGGGGCAGUGCACCAGAGCAAAGUGAGGGGCAGGUAAGGAGAAAAGGUGAGAAGGAAAAGGGAAUGGUGAAGUGGGGGGGGUGGAAUUACUGGAAGUUAGAGAAAUCAAUGUUCACUUCCCCUUCUCCAGCCCUGUAUCUCUUUCACCAAUCAACUUCCCAGCUCUUUACUUCAACCCUCCCCAACCCACUCCCCGGUUUCAUCUGCCACCUUGUGGGUCUUCCUCCCCUCCCCCACCUGCUAGCUCUGACUCCUCGUCUUUUUUUUCCUUCAGUCCUGAUAAAAGAUCUCAGCCCGAAACAUUGACUAUACUCUUUUCCAUAGAUGCUGCCUGGCCCGCUGAGUUCCUCCAGCAUUUUGCGCGUGUUACUUGGAUUUCCAGCAUCUGCAGAUUUUCUCUUGUUUGGAUUGUUCCAGUGACAAUGAAUGAGACAGUAAUUCCAUUCAAGCUUGACAGCAGAGCCCAGGUGAAUCAGUUGGCCAUGGAAGAUGACAGGAUUCUCAAGGUUAAGAGCAAGAUUUACCAAUGCUGUUUGUCUUUAUCGAGAACAAACAUAACAAGGAUAACUAAGCACAUCUUUCCCUCCAUCCUACUUUUCACAUUCCACAGGGUUCGCUCCCUACAUGACUCCCUUGCCCGCUCGUUCCCCCCACCGCCCCCCCCGAUCUUCCUCCUGGUGUUUAUCCUUGCAAGCAGAACAAGUGCCACACCGCCCCUACACCUCCUCCCUCACUACCAUUCAGGGCCAUAAACAGUCCUUCCAGGUGAAGCAACACUUCUCCUGUAAGUCUGUUGGGGGUCAUCUACUGUAUCUGGUGCUCAUGCUGUGGCUUCCUAUAUAUUGGUAAGACCCGAUGUAGAUUAGAAGAACACUUCACCGAGCACCUACGUUCCAUCCGUCAAAAAAGGAGGGUCUCCCAGUAGCCACCCAUUUUAAUUCUACUUCCCAUUCCCAUUCCGACAAGUCAGUCCAUGGCUUCCUCUACAGACACGAUGAGGUCACACUCACGUUGGAAGAGCAACGCCUUAUAUUGUCUAUAUAACCUCCAACCUGAUGGCGUGAACAUUGAUUUCUCGAACUUCUGGUAAUUUCUCCCCCACCUCCUUCCCAAGUCCCCACUUGUUUCCCUCUCUCAUCUCAUUACUUGCCAAUCACCCCCUCUGGUGCUCCUCUUCCUUCCCUUUCUUCCAGGUCUUCUAUGAUCAGAUUCUCCCUUCUCCAGCCCUUUAUCUCUUUCACCAAUCAACUUCCCAGCUUUUUACUUCACCCAUCCCCCUCUCCUGGUUUCACCUAUCACCUACUACCUUGUAUUUCUUCCUCCCCUCACCCCCAUUCUGACUCUGACCUCCCCUUUUUUACCAGUCCUAAUGAAGGGUCUCGGCCCAAAACAUUGACUGAUUACUCUUUUCCAUAGAUGCUGCCUGGCCUGCUGAGUUCCUCCAGCAUUUUGUGUGAGUUGAUGUAGUGGAAGAUACUCCCUAAAUUGUAACAAUCUAUAAUGUCCUGCAAAAUAAGAUGAUGAGGGCAGUGGAAAGUUGCCUGAUAUAAAAAUGAAUUCUGAUUUGGUUAGUGAUGAGGGAAGCAGUGAGAGGUCCCAUUUUUCCUGCUGAUACUACCUCAGUAUCCCCAUCUUACUGAACCAAUUAUCUCCCACUAAUACCCGCUCACUUGCUCUCUCCCCAGAGGAGACACCAAUUUCAUCUGCAGAAAAUUAAAUUCUUUAGUUCACCUCAGGGUGGUGGAUCACAGGAGAAUGUGCUUUAGAGGAGCACUGCAAACUAUGCCCCUCACUGCUCCUUACCAAAAUUUUCCAGUCCAACUUCUGUACCCAUUCAGCACAGAGUAACAUUAGAUCCACCCAACUUCAGAUUUUCUAACAAAAUGCCAGUAAUCUAAAAUGUUAAUAUAUAUCCCUCUCUCUUCAAUUGAGAUAAAUCAACAGUUUUUUUUCAUUUCUAAUGAGACCUGACAUCCAUCCUAAAAAGUGUGCAUAAGAUUUGGCCACAAUAUUAAAUACCUGUCACAUCGACCCCUAGCCUCCUCUGAAGUAUCAGACCUGUGCCAGUGGUUGUUGGGGAGGAUAAAAUAUACAAGGUAAUUUCAAUUUACUAUCAUAAAUAGGUUUGUAUAGUAGAGAGUAUCAGGAUUCCAGAGAAUUCUGUAACAGGGCAAUAGAACACUUUAGCACCCCAUCUUUCUUCUGAGCAUAAGCCAGCCUUCCAGAGUAAAUAUCAAAUUCAACAAUUUCAGGCAAUUCACUCACUCAUUUUAUAACGAGUGAUCAGUUCCACUGCAUCUGUGACAUUAAUUCUCUCCAAUAAUACCUGCCUGAUGUUAACUGCAUUUCAUACCUUUUACAUGUUCCUUUAUUUUCUUUCUAACUUUCCUCACUAACCUAACAACUUAUUGGCUUCAUCCAUAGCUUAUCAUUGUGGCAAGACUAACCACCCACUGUCAAAAGAGACACAAGUAACUGAUGGUGCUGUAACUUGGAGCAAAACAAAACUCAGCAGGUAGAGGAGCAUCCAUAGGGGUAAAGGAAUUAUCAACGUUUCAUGCUGAAACCCUGCAUCAUGAGUUCAAGGCAGCACAGUAGCGUAAUGGUUAGCACAACUAGCUGUAAGACUGAGGUUUGAUUCACGCCACUGUCUGUAAAGGUUUAUACGUUCUCCCUGUGACCACAUGGGUUUCCUCUGGGUGCUCCAGUUUCCUCCCACAUUCCAAAGUCUUACAGUUGAAUUGUGAACAUGCUAUGUUUGUGCCUUAAGCGUGGCAACACUUGCAGGAUGUCAGAUGUCCAAUACAACCUUCACUGAUUUGAUUUGAUGCAAAACGACACAUUUCACUGCAUGUUUCGAUGUACAUAUGACAAAUAAAGCCAAUCCUUAAUUUUAUAGAACAUAGAACAUUGAAUAGUACAGCACAGUACAGGCCCUUCGGCCCACAAUGUUGUGCCGACCCUCAAACCUUGCCUCCCAUAUAACCCCCCAUCUUAAAUUUCCCCAUAUACCUGUCUAGUGGUCUCUUAAAUUUCACUAGUGUAUCUGCCUCCACCACUGACUCAGCCAGUGUAUUCCACACACCAACCACUCUGAGUAAAAAACCUUCCUCUAAUACCCCCGUUGAACUUCCCACCCCUUACCUUAAAGCCAUGUCCUCUUGUAUUGAGCAGUGGUGCCCUGGGGAAGAGGCGCUGGCUAUCCACUCUAUGUAUUCCUCUUAAUAUCUUGUAUACCUCUAUUAUGUCUCCUCUCAUCCUCCUUCUCUCCAAAGAGUAAAGCCCUAGUUUCCUUUAUCUCUGAUCAUAAUCCAUACUCUCUAAACCAGGCAGCAUCCUGGUAAACUCGAGGAAAUCUGCAGAUGAUGGAAUUUCAAGCCACACACAUAAAAGUUGCUGGUGGCAGGCCAGGCAACCUGUUGCAUUCACCAGCAACUUUUAUGUGUGAGGCAUCCUGGUAAAUCUCCUCUGUACCCUUUCCAAUGCUUCCACAUCCUUCCUACAGAAACAUCAACAGAUCCUUUCCCCUGCAACUGCUGCUUGACCGACUGAGAUUUUCCAGCAGCUUGUCAGGUCCCAACCUGUCAAAGAUGCUUCCUAUCCAAGCUUCCCCAUUUCCAAUUCAAAACUAAUUUGAUUUCCCUUUUCCUUGCAUUUGAGGGCCAUGGUAACUCCCUUUCUACAGAUGCUGCUUGACCUGCUAAGUGUAUACAGCAUUCUCUAUUUUUAUUUAUUUAUAACACCAGGAGAUUUACCAUGGUGUUGUUUGAGGUGGAAUCAUUCAGUUGUGCACAGAAACUGGACAGGCUGGGUUUGUAGAAGCCUGGAAACCUUGGAUAUUUAUUCACCAAGAUAUCUAAUACCUCCUCCUUUUCCAUGACAAUUUGCUCCAGAAUUUCAUCAACCUUAACUGUCCCUGAAAUCUUUAACUACAAAGUCCUUCUCUAUUAUAAAUACAAAUGAAAAUAAAUCAUCUGGCUCCAGGCACAGAUUACCAGAUAGGCCCCAUGGUUUUCAAUGGAACUCACUUGACCUUAUCCACCAGUGCUAUUUUAUCUCCACUUCCUGUUCUCCUAUCUUUUCUUUGUUCCUCCACAGCCCCCUCCCACAAUCUUUAUACUCCUGAACGGCCUUCGCUUCAUUCAGAUUUCUGUACCCACCAUUGCCCACUUUAUUUUUCUUUAUUCAACUCCCAAAUAUUAUUUGACAUAUGAGCUUCUUUGGGUCUGCUGGCCCUAACAUUCAUCCCUAUAUGAACAAGUUCCAUGUUUUAAUUGUUGAAUGACUCUCACUGGUUGCACGUAGAGUUUCCUGCAAGUAGUUACAACUGUUUCAUUUUUCCCAGAUUUUGUUUUAUCAUUUAGAAGUCAGCUUUCCUGUAAGUUAGGACUUUGUUCCUUUUGUUAACAAUUUUAAUACCAACAGAGUUAUCGUCACUGUCUCUAAAAUGCUCUCGAACAGGAAAAUGAUGCUCUGGAGUGGCAUGUAUUCCGAGAGCACCUGCCUGGCUUUCUUCCUCUGCCUGGUGGUCAGUCAUUCCCUCCCUGCCUUUGUUCCUUAAGCUUUGAAGUUAAGUCUCAGCACUGUUAUGCCUUCAGGAAUCAAGAGAUCAAGCUGGUCAAACCAGUGACAUUCACUACAGAUGUGGUCAUCCCGACCACAAGGAAUGCUUCAGAAUUCCCAUAGGCUGCAAGUCAUACAAGACAUUAGGGAUCUUGCUUCCAGCCAAAGUUUUAAUGAAAAAGUUGAAUUAUCCCAUCAGCCCACCCUCAGCAACGCCGCUUCAUUCACUGCAGUCCACACUGGCAACUGCUGUGUACAUGCUGUGGUUUCUGAGCCUCUCUCUUCAAAAAUUCAAACAACAUUAGCCUAGUCAGCUGACUUCACUUUCUUUCAGAUAUAAGUUCUCAGUAGUUUUCACAGUAAACACUGAAGAACUGAUUGGCCCUUAAUUAACUGUUGAUUCAAGCAGCUUUUUAAGUUGAAGGAUGCCUAAAAAGUGAGAGAUCAUCAUAUUUGGUUGCAAGGCCAAGUUAACUUUUGAUUUAACUGAAGUAAUCUUAUACCCUGACAUUUGACUUAUAAGCAGCUUCACCUUGAUUUAGACUCACUACAUAAAAUCACCUCAUUGAUACCAGAACUCCAAAAGUGCAUAUAUUCAAAAGUGGAUUGCACUAUUAUCUUUCUGACACUUUCACUGAUAUAAACACUGUUACAGUGGUUCAGCCCGCACCACCACGAAUUGCUUAAAACACAGUUGUAAUGCAGCAGAAUGGCUGCACUAACCUCACAGAAUUCAAUGUUAUAGCACAAAAACAGCCAGCUCAAAACAGCUUACAAGCAGGUCUCUGUUCAAAAUCAGGACUUCCACAAAGAAACAUGGGUAACUAUCAGCAAAAGCAGGCUACUCCAUGGAAGUCAGCACCAAGAGCAGUUCACAAAAACCUGUAGUGCACUGCCAUCUGCUGGGAGACAGUCAGAAUUUUCAAUGACCAUGACAAAUAAAUCAGAAUAAUUACAUAUGUGAUAAUUAUUUAUAAAGUUAUCAACUAUAAAAAAAUAAAGGUUAUUUAAGUGUCCCUAUGCAGAAAAAUAGGGAUUGGCCAUUCUGAUGAAAGGCUCUGCCCAGAAGUGAAAUUAUAUUGAAUUGUUCUGCAAUAUAUUUAACACACACAGAUCCAAGUUCUUUUAUUGAAAUGGCCACAAGUUGGAUUUGGCCACAUUGUUUCAGUAUGCCUCUCACAAUACCCUCUCCAGUCCACAGGGGACUAGUGACACCCUAAUGCUGGUUCCCUUUACUGUAGCUUAGUUAACAGCAACCUUGUCCCCGAGUCAAAGUCUUUGGUUUUGUGAUCCGCCUGAGAACAGUAUACAAAAGAAUCUUGUUUGACAAUCUAGUCCAGCAGCAGGAUGUCACAGCGUCACGUUAAACUAACCCCUUCUGUUCUCUUCCAGAUCAAUGUAAAAGAUCACGUUGCAUAAUGUCAAAGAAAGUCAAAAGCAUUCUCUUCACUAAGAACAGAACAAAUAGAAGCAAGGGUAGUAAAGGACCAGUUGACCCUCAUGUUUGCUCCACCAUUUAAUAAAAACCUGAAGAUAUUUCAUGUCAGCACUGCAUUCCUGCACAAAAUCCAUGUCCGUUGAUUCAGGAGGAACUAAAAGCCUUCUGAUCUUUGUAACACAUGCAAAAUGCUGGAGGAACUCAGAGGCCAGACGGCAUCAAUGGAAAAGAGUAAACAGUCGACAAGUAAACCUGCUGAAGGGUGUCAACCCGAAAUGCUGUCUGUUUACGCUUUGCCAGAGGAGCUGCCUGACCUGCUGAGUUCCUUCAGUAUUUUGUGUGUGUUGCUUGGACUUAUAGCAUGGACAGAUAUUCUAGUCUCAGCCUACUGAUCUCAGUUCAGUGACUUGAGUCACCACACCCUCUUGGGAAGCAAGUUCCCAAGAUUUAACAGCAACUGAGUGCAGAAAGAAAGAGAGAGAGAGAGAGAUUCGAGUGUGAGAGUGUGAGAGUGCGUGUGCACGCUAGUUAGAAAACAAAGGUAAUGUUCCAUAUGGGAAAGGACAUACUAAGUAAGAGAUGAGAUCCAACAUAGGUAUGAAAUUGAAACUGUGUGGGGAAAGGGAGGUGCUUGAGGGAACACAUAGAGAUAGGAUUGCAAUCAACUGCUGGGGUUGGUGGAGCCAGAGAUAGGAUCCAUUAUGGUGGUGAGAAGUGGAGAGAUCACAUUACCUGGUCAGACUGAUGCCACUUAAGUUACAUAGAGGAUGGCAUCUUACAAAGUGGAGAUAAACUCCUCCAUGGACCAUGCAUAUGCAAAUGAAUUUUGUGGAGAUGGACAGAGUGAGGUGAAUACCUGGAAUGAAUUACCUCCACUGCUUAAAGAUGUGUUGCUUACCACAUUUAAGUAGUAUCUAGGAUUGCACUUGAAUCAGCUUAAGCAUAGAAAGCUCUCCCAGUCAGCAUGGACAAGCUGGGUCGAACGGCCUGCCAAGAAAACCAAGGUAGCAUGCCUGAACAACUGGCGCCCUGUCGCACUCACCUCAAUUUUAAGCAAAUGCUUUGAGAUGCUGGUUAAAGACAUCUGCAGCAUCCUACCAACCACACUGGACUGACGGAACCAGUCUACUGAUGAUGCCAUAGCCACACCACUACACAUCGUCCUCGCUCACCUGGAGAAGAGGGAUGCAUACGUUUGAAUGCUGUUCUUGGACUACAGUUCAGCAUUCAACACCAUAAUUCCCUCCAGACUUGACAGGAAGCUCAGAGACCUCAGCCUGCAUCCCACCUUGUGCAGCUGAAUCCUAGACCUCUUAUCGGAUCACCAACAGGUGGUAAGGACGGGCCCCUCAUUUCUGCCCCCCCAGGGUUGUGUCCUGAGUCCCCUUCUCUACUCCCUUUACACCCAUGACUGUACUGACACACACAGCUCCAAUUUGCUGAUCAAAUUCGCAGAUGACACGACUUUGAUCAGCCUUAUUUCUAGCGGUAAUGAGUCAGCCUGGAGGAGAGGUUGACACCCUGACACAGUAGUGCCAGGAUAACAACCUCUCCCUCAAUGUCAAAAAAGCCAGAGCUGAGUGUGGAUUACGGGACGAAUGGAGACAGGCUCGGCCGAUCAACAUCAAUGGUUCUGCAGUUGAGAGGGUGAGUAGUUUCAAGUUCCUCAGUAUACACAUCACCGCAGAUCUCACCUGGACUGUACACACUGGUUUUGUGGCAAAAAAAGCACAACAGCAUCUCUUCCACCUCAGGCGACUGAGGAAGUUCAGCAUGGACUCCCAAAUCCUCAAGAUCUUCUACAGGGUCACCAAUGAGAGUAUCCUGACUGGCUGUAUCACCGCCUGGUACAGGAAUUGCACAGCUGGGCACUGCAGAGAGUGGUAUGGGCAGAAUGGGCAUUUGUGGGUGUGAACUUCCCUCAUUUGAGGACAUUUAUAGCAGCAGGUGCAGAAAGGCGGCCUGGAGAUAAUCGGGGACACAAAUCACCCCAACCAUAAACGGCUUCAACUGCUUCUGUCUGGCAAACAGCUCCACACCAUUAAAGCCAUGACCAACAGGCUACAGGACAGCUUCUUUCCACAAGCCACUAGACUUUUAAAUUCACAUGUCCGUACAUUGCAACAGAGUCAUAACACAAAGAUGUUUACUCCCUCAUGUUCUGUGAUAGAUGUAAGAUUUAAAUAAACUCUAAUUCUAACUCCACGCUGUACGAUUCUACGACUCUAUGAGAAACACAGAAACAUAGAAAACCUACAGCACAAUACAGGCCCUUUGGCCCACAAUGUUGUGCCGAACAUGUCCCUACCUUAGAAAUUACUAGGGUUACCUAUAGCCCUCUAAUUUUUCUAAGAAAUGUGUGUUCAAGCAGCUAUAAACAAAAGGGCAAUAUAUCCCCAAAGUUCUUCAAACAAUUGGCUAUCCCAAUACAUGAUCAAGUUAGAGAAUCAUAGUACAGCAUGGAAUAAGGCCCUUUGGCUCAUACUUGUCCAUGUCAACCAAAUGUAUAUUCAAAUUAAUGCCAAUUCCUAACACUUGGCCAUAUCCCACUUUCCAACUUAGUUAAUCUUUCCUAUAACAUGGUGACCAAAACUGAACACAAUACUACAAGUGUGGUCUCAUCAGCAUCUUGUACGAUUGCAACAUAACCUCCCAACUUCUAUAUUUGGUGCCCUGACUGAUGAAGGCAGCAUGCCAAGGGCUUACAUCACCACCUUGACCACUGGUGAUACCAUUUAAGAGAACUGUGUACCUGUACUCUGUACCCAUUUUACAACUGUAUCCAGGAGCCUUACAUUCAAUGUAAAAAUCCUACCUUGAUUUACCUUUCUAAAACAUAACACUCCACACCUGAAUUAAUUUCCAUUUGCCAUUCCUCCACCUACUCACCCAGUUGAUCUUGAUACUCAUCUUCACUGUGUGACACCAUCUACUUUCAUGUCAUUUGCAAACAUAUUAACUAUUCCUCAUAUAUUCUCAUCCAAAUCAUUAAUACAGAAUACAAUUAGCAAAUGGCCCAGUGCUUUCAGUCCUCAGUCUGAGAAGUAUUAUCCUGUUUUUAUUAUCCACUUUUAUCCUGUUUCCUACCACGCAAACAAUUUUGUAUCCAGUUUGCUAGCUAUGCAAUCUAACCUUCCAGAGCAGCCAACCAAACAAAACCUUACCAAAACUCUUACUGAAAUCCAUAUAUACGACAUCUACUACCUACCCUUCAUGUCAAUCUUUUCCUCACUUCAUCAAAAACUUAAAUCAAAUUUGUAUCACAAAAUCUCCCAUGCAUGAAGCCAUGCUGGCUACCCGUAAUCAAUCUUUGCUUUUCCAGAUGUAAGAAAUUUUGUCCCUCAGAAUGCUUUCCAGCAAUUCAUCUACUACAGACAUUAGGCUAAUGGGUCAACAAAUACCAAGACUUUUAAUUAUAGUCUUUUUUAAAUAAAGGCACAUUUGCUAUCCUCUAGUUUUCCAGCUCUCACUAGAUGUUACAAAUAUCUCAGUGAGCGCUCUCACAAUUUCUUCUCUAGCUUCCCAUAAUGUUGUUGGUUAUACAAUAUAAUCAUGUAACAUAUAACAAUUACAGCACGGAAACAGGCCAUCUCGGCCCUUCUGGUCCGUGCCGAACUCUACUCUCAUCUAGUCCCACCAACCUGCACUCAGCCCAUAACCCUCCAUUCCUUUCCUGCCCAUAUAUCUAUCCAAUUUAACUUUAAAUGACAACAUCGAACCUGCCUCAACCACUUCUGCUGGAAGCCCGUUCCACACAGCUACCACUCUCUGAGUAAAGAAAUUCCCCCUCAUGUUACCCCUAAACUUUUGCCCUUUAACUCUCAACUCAUGUCCUCUUGUUUGAAUCUCCCCGCGUCUCAAUGGACAAUACCUUGUCCAGAUCUGGAGAUUUAUAUAUCUUCCUAAACAUUAACACAUACUCUUCUGUAAAAUGAACUGUUCCCAAAACAUCUCUACUCACAUUGUCAGGCUCUCAAGUCUUCACAUUUCUUCAUGGUAAAAUAGAGGAAAAAUAAUCAUUGAGAACUCUGCCUGCUCCAGUCUUGGAUUUCUGGUCUCUGAAGGUCACUGUUCCCUCUAAGCUGCGCGGAUGUGCAACUCCACAGUAACUGAAAUGCUCCCAUAUGUAGCCUUUGUUGCUGCACAGCUAGAAUUUUCUUUUAUGUAAUGUUAAUAGUGAAAUAUCCUGUAAUUAUGUGUUAAUGAAUAUUUUCUAAAUAUUAAACAUUUGAGACAUUUUAGAGCUUCAACAUUUUUAUAUUGUGUUUCAAGUUACAACAUUGUUACAAAUUGUAACGAUAAACACGGAAUGGAAGGCGAAACAAGACACCCAGAAUGCUGGAGGAACUCAGCAGGCCAGGCAGCAUCUGUGGAAAAAAGUACAGUACUGUACUUUUUUUCCAUAGAUGCUGCCAAUCUGCUGAGUUCCUUCACCAUUUUGGGUGUGUGAUUGGAUUUCCAGCAUCUGCAGAUUUUCUCUUAUUUAUGGAAGUCGUACGCUCAUUGUUAAUAAUCCGCCGCUUCACUGAAUGCCGACACCAUUUACUUGUGUUGGACUUAUGGUUUAUGGUUGCUUGAUGUGAAAAAUUCUAUACUGUAUUCUGACAUCGCUGUGACAUUUCAAGCUUCUAGUGCUGACUACAAACUUGGAUUUAGUCUUAUGAAUUCAGUCAAAUGUAAAUCCAGACACAGACUAGAAGUUGAACAUUUGGUUGAUCUAUUAAGGAUUACAAUAUGUUUUUCACUUAAAUGAAAAAUUAACCUGGUCAGUGUGUGAGACCCUCCUCUUGUCGGGGUCAACCAUGGAUAUUGCAUCCUAGCUGUCUACAUGAUACGCAAGCCAGCACAUACACCAGGGUGGUACAAUAUGGAGAGCAAGCUGUUGCCCAUGUAACAAGCUCCCCCUCUCCAUAGCUGAUGAAUCCAAAGAAACGGCAGAGACCAAUACAGUUUGGCACCAGCAGCGUCACAGGAGUAGCCAGUCAGCAUUGAAUUCAAAGUAGGACUGCUUUUGGUACUUCAGCUCUAGGUUUUUCUUCGGGGUUUACUCCCGAAACCUUCUUCAUGAGUGGGCAUAGCCAUAAGGCAGUGGAGGUUUGUGAUGAACUGCCAGCCACUGCUGAUGAACACCUUCUGCCUGAAACAAAUGGUUUUAAGGCACCAGUAACCCAUCUUUACCCCUUCUCUUGUCAGAAAUAGUUCCGCCAGACUUAGUAGCUAAGUCACAUGUGAAGGCCAGGAGCUGAACUUGGUUGUCAGAGGCUAUUUGAGGUGCACGCCAUUGAGAGCAUUUAAUAGGUAGUGGAAGCUUACCCCAUUACCACACCCAGCUAUUAGAACUUUAAGGAACAGUGUUUAUAGACAGUGGAUUUGUAAUAAAGACAGACGAGAAAAAGUUUACAAAAUGUAAAAGUUUUUUUGUUGUACUGUAUUUCAUUAUACUCUUCAGUUAAUAAAUAAAAUCAAAAGUAUGCAAUUUUUCAAUUUUCAUUCUAAAUAUUCAUAGUAUGCAUAUUGCAAAAAAAUUUCAUUUUAAAUGCCGAGCAGUUUUCAGGCUGUGUAAAUAUUUCCUGCUCAGAGCAAUGGUUUGUUCAUGCAGUUGUAAACCAAAAUAUAGGGGAAACUUUGCUGAGGGACCUUAUUUUCCCUUUAUAUACUUUAAAAAUCUUUUGGGAUUCUCCUUAAUUUUCUCUGCAAACCCACCUCAUGGCCCAACACUGCCCUCUUAAUUUCACUUUUGCAUAUAUUCCAGCAUCCUCUCUAUAUUUCCAAUGGCUCACUUGAUUCCAGCUGUCUGUAUCUGACCCAAGCCUCUUUUUAUUCUUGAGCAGAGUUACAAUAUCCCUUAAUAUCCAAGGUUUCCUACUCCCAGCACCUUUGCCUUUUCUCCUCCACAGAUUGUCACCUCGUCAUGGUGGAGAAACUUGUGUGGUCCUGUGAUCCCAAGAGCAAUGCCCUCUGGAGCUAUGCUCCUGAUAAGGUCACCCAUGGUGGUAAGGUCGAGGGUGAGGUCCCUGUGGAACAGGUGGACGAAGUUCCUUCGAAUUCAACGGCUGUGAAGGCAGAUGAAGGCUGUAACAAAUCCAUCAGCUCCAAUCGCCGUGGUUUCCAUGCCAUUGGAAUCAGUUGGUUGAUUUGUGAAGUAUCGUGUGCUUCUUGGAGUGCAACAUCAAGUACACGUUAAACAAAUACAUGCACAGAUGUCUUCACUCUGUGGGCCACUUCUUCAGAACGAAGACCAUUAUCCUUGAUCUCGAGGGAUAGCCACGACGACGACCUUUGCCUUUCACCUUAAUAGGAACAUGAAUAAAAGCAGAAUCUUUCUGCAUCUCAGACAUUUGUGGAAAGAGGAAAAGUUAAGGCCUGAGCUCAAAGGCCCUUGAGCAGAACUGAGAAAGAAAGAAGUUAGUCAGUCAAGAUAUCAGAGAAGGUAGGAGACCACAAUGGGUGGAACAAAGGAAAUUCCACUUAUUGUUAAAAUUACAUGGCACUUAAAAUCAAAUUAAGCUUCUUUGUCUGUGUAAUGUUGUUAAUGUUGUACAAUCUCACCCACUGUGACAAGCCCAGCAGACCAGAUACUUUUUAUAUAAUAAAAAAGGCAAGCAAUAAUGACCACUUCCAUACAAACAAAGAGACAGAGCAAAUUAUCUAAAAUUGAACAACAUUACAUUGAGUACUGCAGGCUGUAAUAUGAGGUAUCAUUCCUUGAGUUUGCAUUGGACUUUAUUGUGACAUUUUAGGAGGCAGCACACAGACAGAAAUGUCAGAGUAGGAGUAAAGCUCAGGUUUACUCUUGCAGACUGAGUGGAUGGGUGGAGAAAAACAACCACACAAUCCAGACUUGUUUUCUCCAGUUUAGAAAUGCAAACACUCUGUAGUGUACAUUGGUUUGGAUGGAGUGCAAGUGAAACACUUCUCCACUGAAAAAGACUGCCUGAAUCCCAGAUAAUGAAAAGGGAAGAUGUGAAAGUAUGGGUGUUGCAACUCCCUCCUCCAAUGUACCAGAAAGCACACUGAUAGCUGAGGAGUGGACCAAGAGACUAUAAAGAAAGCAAUUCCAAUAAAAUGCUGAAAGCAUAUCCGGUGAUGGAAUCUUGUUGGAACCAACAGACAUUCCCUAGAAUUUUCUUUAUUUUAUUACUGGGUGUCUUAAUCUGCUUUAAUUUAGAUUUCCAAAAUCUAGGAUUUUAGAAUUAUUUAUUCUUUAAAAUAAUGUUGUUUAAUGGAUAACAGAGAAAUCUAUAAUUGUAAAAACACAAAACUAGGAAGAUGACUAAUGUAAAAUAAGAUCUGGGGAUGGAAGAGAUGUCACAGAGGUAUUUACAGACUUUGUAUAAGUCUUAACAGUUGCAGCAAAAACUAGGUCAAGAUUUAAUUAAAUAAAUGGAUGUGGGGAGAGAGGAAGCAAAUGGGCCAUGGAAUAUGUUCAGCAAUUAGGAUUAGGAUUUUUUUAUUUGAAGAUUAAAUGUCAUCAUAACGGUAUUGUCUGCAUUUUCUGUUGUCAUAAUACAACUCUAUGCAUUCUAUAAAAUAACUUUGAUUUUAUUUUAACUCUAAAUCACUUCCAGUUUAAGAUGGUGCUACUGAAGAUGUGACAGCUCACUGGUAGUUUGAAAGCAAAGGAAUUCAGUAAGAGCCAUUAUUAACACUUUUUAUCACCGCAAGCAAUGAAGAAAUGAGCAAGGGCAAAGUGAAUUUGCAGGAAGUACCCUGCUGUUGCGCUGCAAAAUCGACACAUUUAGAGUUCAAGCCAUGCUGGUUGGAAUGAAUGAUACAGAGGGGAGAAGAUGGGACAGAAGAGUUGCGAUGCUCAUUCAACUAACCUUGCUAUGGGAGUUGGGGAUCGCUCUAAACAUCAAGCCAAAUUGGAGAGGUCAAGAAUGGCUUCUUCAGCAGUGAAAUCCAAGUCCAAAGCAAUUUGAUGGGAGGUGUGUUGAAAGCCCAGAGCGACUCACUGCAGCCAGGCCUGGGUCCUAAUGCAAAGUACAAUCCAUUGUUUGGAUAAUCUAAAUGUCGGUCCAUAUAGACUGGAAAGGCAGGGUGUCAAGAGAUGGACGAGGUUGGAUCGCUCAGGGUGCUAAGCCAAUUUGGAGAGGUCAAGAACGUCUCCCUCAGCAGCAAAAUCUAGGUCAGGAGUGAUUCGCCGGCGGCAGGGCCCAGCUCCUAGUGUGAAAUUCAGACAAUUGAAAUGCCAGCCCAGAUAGACUGGGGCACCUCCCUCUGCGACACUAACGUUGUGAAACUGCCCCCAUUGCUGCACUUCAUGUCUGCGAACUCUGCGGCCAUUUGUGCUACUAAUAUACUGAACUUAACACUGAGGCUAUGGGCCAACUCCAGGCUGCUCCAAGGACACAAUUUGGUUCAGAAUGCUGUUGUUGGUGUUUAUAUGAUUUGUUUUGUGUUUUUUUCUGUCUCUGUGAGCAAAGGGAGGGGCGAUUGGUCUUUUUUUUUUAAAUUGGGUUCUUUCGAGUUCCUUGCUUUGCAACUGCCUUUAAGCAAGCAAAUCUCAAAGUUGUAUAAUGUAUACAUUCUUUGAUAAUAAAUCCACUUGAUUAUGCAUAAGCAAUUUUAUUAAGAGAAUCUUUAUUGAAGCAAGAAGCUCAUACUAUUAUUUUCUCACAAAUCAAUGGCAGGACAAAUUAUUACAUAGAUUAUACCAGCGGUCCCCAACCUCCGGGCCAUGAGGAAACGAUACGAGUCAGCUGCACUAUCACGCACCGUUGAACUUGAACAUAGGGUUGCCAACUGUCCCAUAUUAGCCAGGACAUCCCGUACAUUGGGCUAAAUUGGUUUGUCUUGUAUUUCCCCCGCUAAGGUAGAGCAUUCCUAUGAAAC